This 497-nucleotide ribosomal RNA is filed under the name uncultured bacterium. RNAcentral describes it as "partial 16S ribosomal RNA". It matches the Rfam family "Bacterial small subunit ribosomal RNA", at positions 28 to 507 of the family's 1533-position model. The record is from RNAcentral.
GAUGAACGCUGGCGGCGUGCCUAAUACAUGCAAGUCGAGCGAACAGAUAAGGAGCUUGCUCCUUUGACGUUAGCGGCGGACGGGUGAGUAACACGUGGGUAACCUACCUAUAAGACUGGAAUAACUCCGGGAAACCGGGGCUAAUGCCGGAUAACAUUUAGAACCGCAUGGUUCUAAAGUGAAAGAUGGUUUUGCUAUCACUUAUAGAUGGACCCGCGCCGGAUUAGCUAGUUGGUAAGGUAACGGCUUACCAAGGCAACGAUACGUAGCCGACCUGAGAGGGUGUUCGGCCACACUGGAACUGAGCCACGGUCCAGACUCCUACGGGAGGCAGCAGUAGGGACUCUUCCGCAAUGGGCGAAAGCCUGACGGAGCAACGCCGCGUGAGUGAUGAAGGUCUUCGGAUCGUAAAACUCUGUUAUUAGGGAAGAACAAAUGUGUAAGUAACUGUGCACGUCUUGACGGUACCUAAUCAGAAAGCCACGGCUAACUACGUG